Molecule: non-coding RNA, 119 nt
Filed under: uncultured Dysosmobacter sp.
Lineage: Bacteria; Bacillati; Bacillota; Clostridia; Eubacteriales; Oscillospiraceae
Description: FMN riboswitch (RFN element)
Rfam family: FMN riboswitch aptamer (RFN element)
About the family: The RFN element is a highly conserved domain that is found frequently in the 5'-untranslated regions of prokaryotic mRNAs that encode for flavin mononucleotide (FMN) biosynthesis and transport proteins.
Source: RNAcentral
UGUCUUCAGGGCGGGGUGCAAUUCCCCACUGGCGGUACAGUCCGCGACCGGAUGCAUUCGCAUUCGCUGACUCGGUGUAACUCCGGGACCAACAGUUAAAGUCUGGAUGGAAGAAGAUA